This 253-nucleotide ribosomal RNA is filed under the name uncultured bacterium. Its description in RNAcentral is "partial 16S ribosomal RNA". It matches the Rfam family "Bacterial small subunit ribosomal RNA", at positions 524 to 776 of the family's 1533-position model. The record is from RNAcentral.
UACGUAGGUGGCAAGCGUUGUCCGGAUUUACUGGGCGUAAAGCGCGCGCAGGCGGAUUGGUCAGUCCGGGGUGAAAUCUCACGGCUCAACUGUGAGCGGUCCCCGGAUACUGCCAGUCUCGAGGUGUCUAGAGGAGAGCGGAAUUCCCGGUGUAGUGGUGGAAUGCGUAGAUAUCGGGAAGAACACCAGUGGCGAAAGCGGCUCUCUGGGGACCACCUGACGCUGAGGCGCGAAAGCGUGGGGAGCGAACAGG